GAACCCCCUCACACAGGGAACUGGACUUUGACCUCCUGAGGUCUCUUCCAGUUCUAUGAUUCUAUGUAGCCCAACUUCUCACUUGAGAUGGUCUUGAUCUUGAGAAGUUGAAUGGCCAGGAUUCCUUGAAACUUGAGCUUUUUUUAAGGUGGUAUAAAUUAAGCAUCUUAAAAUCAUAAAUUGCUUUGAAAAGCUUGACUUGUCCAGAGGAAAUUACUGUCUUGCUGAUAAAGUAAAAUACUUUGCACAUAGUGCCUUUGUCUAGGUAUAGCAUCCAGCUUUUACAAAUAUAUUUGUCUUGUAACUUUUCUGGUACAGAAACUUUACAACCAUAUUUUAGAUGAGGGGGAAAAUGAGGCAUACAGCACCUGAGUAACAUGAUCAGACUCAUUUUGCGCAGCAGUGCUGUAAUGAGAAUCCCAGUCUCAUUGGCUUGGUUCCUUCUAGCCAGUCCAAUUAACUUCCCCCUAAACAGGAGUGGUUGCUGCUCUGAAAGAUGAGAUACUUCCUGCUCUCGACCCUCAUGAACACAUUGCUGUAACAUUCACUUCAUGCUGCCUGGAGUAAAAGUAGAAGUGGCUGUCUAACACUCACACCCCUCUCCAUCUGCUUCUAGGGGCCACAGAGCAAUGAAGAUCCAGACUAACAUGGCUACUCCUCUGAUGUUUGCGAGGAUGCUCAGCAAGUCUACAUGGAAGAGAUGCAGGGUGUUGAAGCAAUGGAAGGAACACAGAGACUAUCUGAAGAUCUGGAGAACUGGCAGAAAUGUAGCACACAGAAGACUGAAACCUGAGCAAGUGAGAGAAAUGGGAAUUUUGGUCAGAAUGGCAAAAACAUUGAAAUAGAGAUUGACAAAUCCCAAAAGCAAUAAAAUGUUUCUUUUUUUUUUUAAAAAAAAUGGACAUAUGAAUGAAGUGCUUUCUUUAUGAAAUACUCAUUCCCGCAAACUGAGGGAGGAAGGGCUAAAACUACUCUCAUUCUGUGUUCUAGAAUGAGUCCUCCAACAAAACUAGGACAAGACGAGAUUUCGUACUGUAAACAAAGCAGCAGACGUUUUAUAUAAUCUUUCAUGUGCUUUUAAGCAUGCAGAAGGAAAAAUGGGUAUAACUCUUCCCCCGAUGCCAAUUUUGGAGAUAACUUUAAAUACUACAUUUGUACAUCUGGAAUACUUAACUUGUCAGCAUAUACUUAGAAUCCAGUAUCUCCAGCCAAAUUCAUUAUAGUUCUCAAUUUCCCAUACAAUUUUUUUAAAUGAAUGGGGACCAGCAAAAAGAACAAUCCCAUCACUACUUUGGCUGUUACACAGCCUUAACCUUUUCAUAUUUCUUUGCAGACAAAUAAGCUAAUGCAUGCUGUAUUUCAGUGUAAGUUAUUUUUGUAUCAACUGUGAAAAAAAUAAAAUUAAAACGUAUUUUCUUCUAGUCAGGGAACAAAACAAAGGAAUAGUGGCCUGAAUCUUUGUGCAUGUUUAGAGUUGGUAUGAACUACAGAACGAACAAUUGUACUUUGUUGGAAGUUUAAUCUAGUCUUCAAAUUUGUAGUCCCCCCCCAUCCUCCACCCCCAGUCUCACCAUGUUCCCAUUAAUCUCCAGGGAUUCUAUUGCCCCUUUCUGUUAGUAUUAAAAGGAGGCAAGGAAAUUCUAUUAUACUUUUUAGUGAUAGAUUCUGUGUAAUGAAAUGGGCAGGGACUAUGCAGGAGGUUAUGGAGCCAACGUAUUGAAGGACCUCAGAUAGGCAGGAUAAGGCCUUUUCUACACUUGCAAGUUUUGUUGCCAAAAAAACACUUUUCUGGCAACAAAAUCCAGAGAGCGCCCAUACUGUGAUGCAACAAAAGUCGCACCACACAAAAAACUUUUUGGUGACAAAAAACUUGCAUCUCCUCACGAGACUUUUGUCUCAUGCCCUCCCUUCACCAUCAGCAAUCAUGAUGCGUGUAUGACAGUAGGUUUUCUGUCAAAUUUAUUGACCUCCAGCAUGUUUCCCCACAAUGUCUGAUUAGACACUCUGGCCAGCACUUUAAACUCUGUUGAUCUGCAGCCAUAUACACAGAUAGAAUCUUCUACUUGCAAUCCCCAGGAACUUUAAAAAUCCAUUUUCUAGUGUCUGGCUCAUUGUAUAGUUGUCCUCAUGGCAUCUUCUCAGGGCACUGGGGUGGGGGAUGGCUAUCAUUCAAAACACUCUCCUGCUUUGGAAAAAAAAAAACUUUAAAAACAACAAAUAGACUAGUAGCACCUUAAAGACUAACAAAACAUGUAGAUAGCACAACCUGCUUUUGUGGGCACAACCCACUUCUUCAGAUGACAAGAGUAUUAGAAGCCCAGAUCAGAGCUUUUGAAUCUAUCAGUGUGCAGAGUGAAGAACUGAUGCAACUACAGCUGUGAGUGACCCAUCAGAACUGGGACACAUGGCCACAUUUCUCGAGCCCUCUGA
Molecule: long non-coding RNA, 2430 nt
Organism: Pelodiscus sinensis (Chinese soft-shelled turtle)
Lineage: Eukaryota; Metazoa; Chordata; Testudines; Trionychidae
Source: RefSeq, a predicted model, not a curated record